CAAGCUAAAUGCUGUAUUCAUUCCAAAUGAAAAGAACUAGACUGCUGAUUGUACUGUAGGAUAAGGAGGAAGGCAGUAAAGCUGCAGUAUAUCCUUGAAGCGUGUCAAAGUGCCAUAAACACUAAACAACUUAAUUUUCCAUUCCAGAAAAUCAGCAGUCAUCAAGACAGCACUUGGUAAAACAUUUAAGAUUUGUGAUAAUAACAAGUACU
Molecule: long non-coding RNA, 212 nt
Filed under: Homo sapiens (human)
Lineage: Eukaryota; Metazoa; Chordata; Mammalia; Primates; Hominidae
Description: HSALNT0109572
Source: RNAcentral